RNAcentral lists this long non-coding RNA (7922 nucleotides) under Lactuca sativa (garden lettuce). RNAcentral describes it as "long non-coding RNA (LSAT_LNC002331)". The record is from RNAcentral. Lineage: Eukaryota; Viridiplantae; Streptophyta; Magnoliopsida; Asterales; Asteraceae.
GAAAUAUGUGCCCAGAACUUCAAAAGUCCAUAUCUUUCGCAUAUGAGCUCCGUUUUCUACGUUCUUUAUAUCCACGCAUAGGUGAGAUUAUGCUCUACAACUUUCGUUUAGACUCUGUCAGCUAGUUUUGAAUUUAUUUUAAAGCUAUAUUUUUAACAGGCCGGGACAGGAAAAGUGUGACAUCCCCAAAAUCUCGGCCAGAAAAGACCGAUUUUCAUUUAUGCUUUUAAAUAUUUUCAGAGUAAAUCCUUUUGAUUUGAAAGAGUUGCGGAAUUUGUUCCCAAAAACAAAACAUGAUAAAACAUUGUUUAUCGAAGCAUUUCAUAAAAGAAAUGUAUUUUCAUUAUAAUCAAAACUCGGGGUGUCAUGUUCCGAUACAGACCAAUAAGCAUAAACGAAUACAUUACAAGUCAUAUAACAAAUAUAAACAUAUGUAGACUUGUAAACAAAACAACUUGAUGGUUCAUCCAUCUCAUGCCCUUCCGCCACUACCUGUAAUACAAUUUAAAACUGAGUGGGUCAGGCUUGGGAGCCUGGUGAGCAUAUAGGGUUUUCAACCCACAAUAAAUAUCAUAUUUAAUUUUCACCAACCAACAAUAACCCAAUUACCCAUUCCCGUUAUUCUCACUUUAAUGUCCCUAAAACAACUAACAUAAGGGACCUAGUCUAAGAAUAUUUCAUCGGGGCGACAACACAUGCUUCGGGGGUACCUCAGCAAUAUAAGUCAAAUAAGGCAACCAUGAGGGGGAUGGAGUACAGCGAAUGAACACCCAAGUUCAUUAACACCUACAGGUGGCGAACCUGCUAAUGUUUCCACAAGACUGUCUAGAAUAGCCAGUGGUCGUCAUCUAAACUCCGCUAGAUGACUCAAUCAAACAACAACGAGGCCUCUCAUCUGUUUAUUACACACCAACUGUCUACCCAUGUUCUACCCAACAUAUUAGUAGAUAAAAAUAUACAUUUGUAUACAUAGUUUAAAGAAAACCUGUAUAGCAUGCUUUAAUCAACACAUAUAUCACAUAACAGAUGAGGCACACACACACAUAACACAUAUCUCAUAAAGAAAUAAGCAGAUCUAUAAGAUAGAAGAGAGUGAAUACUCAUUCACACAUAACACAACCAAAUAUAUACACAUAGCACGUAUUUUUAUAUAAAAUACUUCGUAUUAUUGUAUUAGAAGAAAUAACUACACACUCACUUGAUCAGAAGAUGAUCGGACAGCACUACGGCUUAUAGAAGUAGUAAUCCACAGCAGAUCUGGAAGAUCUUCUCGAAAAUCGAACUUCUCGCGGGCAGAGCUUCGACUCGGGAACCGCACUUUUCGGGAUCUUCAGGAUCUCGGGACUUGCCUCGGGGCUAGAGUAUGAUACCGGGACUUCGGGGUAGCUUCGGGGGUUUUUGCACAGAGCUUCGACACGAAAACGAGAGGGAAUUGGCAAAAAUACCCGGAACCCUCGCAUCCUAUUUAUAGGAGGCUGGAGCCUCGGAGUACGCGGGGCGUACUGCGUUACGCGGGGCGUACUGCCCAAAACGUCAUUGCUUACGUAUCCGAAGUGCUCGAGUGCGAGUGUCGACAUCCCUCGGAGUACGCGGGGCGUACUCGAGUACGCGGGGCGUACCUCGGAUCAGAUCGGUGACUCCUUCGGAUAAUGCUUCCGAAUUUUGAAUUAAAAAUAAAUACAAAAUGAUUAAUAAACUUCGGAAAUUCAUAACUUCUUCAUACGAACUCCGUUUUCGACGUUCUUUAUAUCCACGCGAAGGUGAGACCACGCUCUACGACUUUCGUUUAGACUCCGUCGGCUAAUUUUGACUUUAUUUUUAUUAAUUAUUUUUAAUAGGCCGGGACAGAAACUUUCGUUAUAAAUUCAUAACUUCUUCGUUUGACGUCCGUUCUCGCCUAACUUUUUAUCGUUUCAAUACCAACAAUGAGAUCUUCGAUUCUCAUUUAGAUUGCUUCGGCUAACAACCGCUCGAUCUCAAAUCGAGUAAAACAGGCUGUAUAUCGCUAAGCCGGAACUUCGAUAAAUCAUAACUUCCUCAUACGAAGUCAGAUUUGGGCGUUCUAUAUAUAUUCGGAAACCUCGUUUCAACUACUACAACAUUAACCAAAGAUAUUAAGUUUAUUUUACACUUAAAUUUUGACGCUUAUUUUUAUUCUUAAUUAAUCAAACCACAUAAUUAAGCAAUUAAGCACAAAACACAUAAUACUCAAAUAAUACAAUCUUAUUAUUUCAAAACGGGUUACAAAGGUUAACCUAGACUAUUACAUUGCUAAAAAUGGCAAGCCCGGAAACACAGGCGUUACAAUUCUCUCCACCUUAGAAUGAUUCCGUCCCCGGAAUCACACAUCAACAAACAAAUGCGGAUAGCGACUCAACAUGUCACUCUCCGUCUCCCAGGUGAGAUUCGGCCCAUUCGUGUGUUUCCAUCGGACAAGCACUAACCCAACCAUUUUGCGUCGCAACUUCUUAGUCUUUCGGUCAACAAUUGCCUCUGGUUCUUCAAUCAACCUUUUGUUCUCAUCAAUUCUCAAUUCAGAAAUUGGAAUUAUAUCGGGAACUUCUCCCGUGAACUUCCUCAAAUAACACACAUGAAAGGUGUUGUGAAUUCCAUUCAGUUCUUCGGGUAAUUCGAGCUUGUAAGCUUGAUUCCCAAUCCUCUGAAGGACUUUAAACGGUCCAAUAAACCUUGGACUCAACUUUCCCCUUUUACCAAAUCUUAUAAGUCCCUUCCACGGCGAGACUUUAAGCAAAACCGAAUCUCCAACCUCAAAAGUCAUCGGUCUUCGCUUCUUGUCAGCAUAGCUCUUUUGACGAUCUUGAGCUGCUAACAUUCUUUCCCUAAUUAUUUUCAACUUUUCAGCAGUUUGAUGAACCAUCUCCGGUCCCAUAAACUGCUUUUCCCCAGCCUCAAGCCAACAAGACGGCGUACGACACUUCUGUCCAUACAAAGCUUGAUAAGGUGCCAUCUUAAUGCUCGAGUGAAAACUAUUAUUAUAGGAAAAUUCUACCAACGGUAAAUGUUCAUCCCAAUUACCUAGGAAUUCCAAGGUACAUGCUCUCAGCAUAUCUUCAAGUGUUUGUAUUGUUCUUUCACUCUGACCAUCAGUCUGCGGAUGGUAAGCUGUGCUUAAACAUAACUUGGUACCCAUUUCCUCUUGUAGACUUUUCCAAAACCUUGAGGUGAAACGGCUAUCACGAUCCGAUACAAUCGUUAACGGAACACCGUGAAGCCUCACAAUUUCCUUCACGUAAGAAUUCGCAAGCUUUUCCAUAGACCAUUUCUCCCUGGCCGCUAUGAAAUGCGCACUCUUAGUGAAUCGAUCAACGACCACCCAAAUCAUGUCGUGACCAUUCUUUGUUCUGGGCAGUUUAGUGACAAAAUCCAUAGCAAUGUCUUCCCACUUACCCAUAGGCACAGGCAAUGGUUCUAAACUCCCGUAAGGUUUCUGAUGUUGUGUCUUGACUCUCGCACAAGUCACACACUCGGCCACAUACUUUGCAACAUCAAGCUUCAUCGUCGGCCACCAGUAGUAGGGUUUCAGGUCCCUAUACAUUUUAGUGCUACCCGGAUGAAUUGAGUACAUGGUUUUGUGAGCUUCUUCCAUCAGAAGAUCCCUAAUUCCUCCUGACUUAGGUACCCAAAUACGAUCUUGGAAUACCUUCAGUCCAUGACCGUUAGUACCAAACACCAACGUUUUACCCAAACGUUCCUCCUUUCGGUCAUUUUUCUCAGAAGCUUCCUCUUGAGCUUUCUUUAUACUUUCCACAAUAGUCGAGACAACUUCAAUUCUCAACGCUCUUGGCCUCUUCCUUUCAAGAUUGACUUUCCGACUGAGAGCAUCAGCAACAACAUUAGCUUUACCGGGGUGGUAAAGUAUCUCGCAGUCGUAGUCUUUAAGUAAUUCUAGCCAGCGUCGUUGCCUCAUAUUCAAUUCUUUCUGAUUAAAGAGGUAUUGGAGACUCUUAUGAUCAGUGAAAAGUUUGCACUUCGUGCCAUAGAGGUAAUGCCUCCAUAUUUUCAGAGCGAAAACUACCGCUGCCAACUCCAAAUCAUGAGUCGGGUAAUUCUUUUCAUGCUCUUUCAGCUGUCGAGACGCAUAUGCUAUCACCUUUUCUCUUUGGGUCAAAACACAACCCAAUCCAACACCAGACGCAUCGCUAUAAACAGCGAAGUCUUCAACUCCAUCGGGUAGAGAAAGUAUCGGUGCCUCGCAUAGCUUCUUCUUUAACUUCUCGAAUGCUUCUUUAUGCUUCUCACUCCAAGCAUAAGUAGCUCCUUUGUGGGUCAAAGCUGUUAAUGGAGUAGCAAUCGAAGAAAAGCCUUGGAUAAACCUUCGGUAAUAUCCGGCUAAUCCUAAAAAGCUUCGAAUCUCCGUGGGACUUUUCGGUUGUUCCCACUUCGUCACAGCUUCGAUCUUCGCUGGAUCAACCAUUAUCCCUUCUUGGUUGACCACGUGACCCAAGAAUUGGACCUCACGAAUCCAAAAAUCACAUUUGGAGAACUUCGCAUAAAGCUUCUCCUUCUUCAAAACUUCUAACACUUCUCGCAAGUGUCUGCCAUGCUCCUCCUGGCUUUUCGAGUAGAUCAGAAUGUCGUCUAUGAACACUAUCACGGAUUUAUCAAGGAAAGGAUUACAAACCCUAUUCAUCAAAUCCAUGAACGCUGCUGGAGCAUUGGUUAGUCCAAACGACAUAACCAAGAACUCGUAGUGUCCAUAUCUAGUUCUGAAUGCAGUCUUCUCGAUAUCUUGCUCUCUUACUUUCAGCUGAUGAUAUCCUGACCUAAGAUCGAUCUUCGAGAAAUAGCUCGAACCUUGCAAUUGAUCAAACAGGUCAUCAAUCCUCGGCAACGGAUAUCUAUUCUUUAUUGUUGCCUUGUUCAGCUCUCUGUAAUCGAUGCACAUUCUCAUACUUCCAUCUUUCUUCUUUACAAAUAACACCGGAGCUCCCCAGGGCGAUGAACUAGGUCUAAUGAAACCUUUGUCCAAUAACUCCUGAAGUUGCAUCAUCAGCUCCUUCAUCUCCGUCGGUGCUAAUCGAUAAGGUGCUUUUGCUAUUGGCGUGGUUCCUGGUAACAAGUCUAUUCUGAACUCCACUUGUCUAUCAGGUGGUAAUCCAGGAAGAUCCUCGGGAAAUACUUCCGGAUAAUCACACACCACUGGAAUGCUCUGCAUCACCUUCUUUUCUUUCUUAGCAUCAAUCACGAAUGCUAAAUAUGAUGUACAUCCCUUGGUCAAACACUUUCUGGCUUUCAUUAGAGAAAUGAUUCCAGAAUUCACUCUGCGUUUGUCCCCAUACACCAUAAACGAAUCUUUCCCAGGCGGGUUUACUUUAACUAUCUUCUUCUUGCACAAAAUUUCGGCAUCAUUGGCGCUAAGCCAAUCCAUUCCCAAGACGAUGUCGAAACCAUUUAGUUCGAUAGGCAAUAAUUCCUCGAGAAACUUAUUCCCAUUAAGGUCGAUCAAGACGUUUUUCAUACGAUGGCUAACAGGUACAAACUUGCCACUAGCUACUUCGACUAAUAAAGCAUUAUCUAGUCUAUCAACAGGCAAAGCUAGCUUUCUACCAAACUCAUGCGAAAUAAAGGAGUAGUUGGCUCCAGAAUCAAACAAUAUAUGAGCAGGUAAUUCGUUUACGAGAAAGGUACCUGAAGCGACAUCAGCUUCAUCUUUCGCAGCCUCAAGUGUCAUCUGGAAGGCUCUCGCCUUCGGCUUUGGUGGAAUGUUGGGCCUAGCUGCCUCCUUCUUCUUCGGACAGUCUUUCAAAAUAUGCCCCUCUUCAUUACACCCAAAACACAUCCUUUUGUUGUUCGGACAUUCAUUGGCAAAAUGUCCAACCUUUCCACACUUGUAGCAGGUCACAUCCUCGCUACAUUUCCCAAAGUGCUUUUUCUUACACUUAUCACACCACUUUGCUUCGCCUCCUUUUCCUCCAAACUUUUUCGAAUCAGAUUUCGAAAAUUUGCUCUUCUUACUGGAACCAGAUGUUCCUUCAAACUUCCUUUUCUCACCAACCUCAACCUUGACGGUGGUUCUCCCCUUGAUCAUGUUCUCCACAGACUUGGCAGCCCAGAUAGCUGCCUCUAGAGUAAGUGCCUGACGUACCGGCACCUCGUACUCCCAUGGAAGUCCCUUCGCAUACCGAUCCACCUUUGUCAGCUCGUCUGGAACGAUACGCAAGGCAAACUCCAUCUUAUCGGUGAAGUUAUUGGUGUACUCAUCCACUGACAUGCUACCCUUCGUCAAUGUCAAAAACUUGUUCUCCAACUCCAACAGAUUUUGAGCCGAGCAGAACUUGCGCUUGAACUGCACCAAGAACUCUGCCCAUGACAAUUGCAGUGGCUCAUUAGGGCUUAAGGUCUUCCCUAGAGUGUUCCACCAACGAACGGCUCCACCUCGGAAUUGUCGCACGGCAUAGAUAGUCUGCAACUUGCCUCUACAGCCACAUGUCAUAAAGGCUAACUCCAUUUCGGAGAUCCAAUCCAUAACCCCAAUCGGAUCCUCCUUUCCAUUGAAGGUCGAUGGUUUACAAGUCAAAAAGUCCUUGUACUUGCAUCCCAUUCCAUCAUUCCUUCCAUCAUGGUUAUCUUGCCUAACUAUCGGUGGGUUGGCUGGACCAACAGACCCACUGAAGUUUCCACCUUCCGAGUGCCCUUCAUUCAGUUCAGGCUCUUCCACACGAAUCGACAGUUCUUCACGAUUUUGUUGAAGCAACCGUCUAGUUUCAUCCAUCUGACGAUCCAACAUCGUCUGAAUCAUCAAUUGCACACCAGCCAUGGUUAUUGGCUCAGGUGCUGCUGCUACGACAGGUAUUGGCUCAAUCACUGGUGGUUGAUUCCUGUUUUCGUCAGCAUUUCCAACUCCACUUCUUGUUCUCACCAUUUUGAUCUACACCGAAUAAGGUGAAAUUAGAUCCUCAAUCAUGAUAGAUAUUCAAAUCAUCCUUAUCACUCCGAAACGUUUACAUGCUAGUUCUAAUAUCGUAGACGUACGCUUAGAAUCCUACACACAUAAGGUUUCUAGAUCCGGUCGGCAACAGACCAUAGAUCCGAACAAAUAAUAUCAUAUAUGGCAACAUAUAACAUUUAGCACAUAAAGCAUUUUAGGCAACUUUCCUAAAAUAAACUAGUGCUCGUGUCUAAAUCACAACAGACACACAUCUCAAAACUUCACUUAGCAUUCUAAGUUUAAGUCUAGAAAUCCUACAAAUUCCUAGUUCGCUUAAACUAAUGCUCUGAUACCAACUGUGACAUCCCCAAAAUCUCGGCCAGAAAAGACCGAUUUUCAUUUAUGCUUUUAAAUAUUUUCAGAGUAAAUCCUUUUGAUUUGAAAGAGUUGCGGAAUUUGUUCCCAAAAACAAAACAUGAUAAAACAUUGUUUACCGAAGCAUUUCAUAAAAGAAAUGUAUUUUCAUUAUAAUCAAAACUCGGGGUGUCAUGUUCCGAUACAGACCAAUAAGCAUAAACGAAUACAUUACAAGUCAUAUAACAAAUAUAAACAUAUGCAGACUUGUAAACAAAACAACUUGAUGGUUCAUCCAUCUCAUGCCCUUCCGCCACUACCUGUAAUACAAUUUAAAACUGAGUGGGUCAGGCUUGGGAGCCUGGUGAGCAUAUAGGGUUUUCAACCCACAAUAAAUAUCAUAUUUAAUUUUCACCAACCAACAAUAACCCAAUUACCCAUUCCCGUUAUUCUCACUUUAAUGUCCCUAAAACAACUAACAUAAGGGACCUAGUCUAAGAAUAUUUCAUCGGGGCGACAACACAUGCUUCGGGGGUACCUCAGCAAUAUAAGUCAAAUAAGGCAACCAUGAGGGGGAUGGAGUACAGCGAAUGAACACCCAAGUUCAUUAACACCUACAGGUGGCGAACCUGCUAAUGUUUCCACAAGACUGUCUAGAAUAGCCAGUGGUCGUCAUCUA